CCUACGGGUGGCUGCAGUGAGGAAUAUUGCGCAAUGGGGGAAACCCUGACGCAGCGACGCCGCGUGAGUGAGGAAGGCCUUCGGGUCGUAAAGCUCUGUCAGAUGGGAAGAAGUGUUAUAUGGUUAAUACCCGUAUAAUUUGACGGUACCAUCAAAGGAAGCACCGGCUAACUCCGUGCCAGCAGCCGCGGUAAUACGGAGGGUGCGAGCGUUGUUCGGAAUCACUGGGCGUAAAGGGCGCGCAGGCGGUUUUAUAAGUCAGAUGUGAAAGCCCACGGCUCAACCGUGGAAGUGCAUUUGAAACUGUAAGACUUGAGUAUCAGAGGGGAAAGUGGAAUUCCCGGUGUAGAGGUGAAAUUCGUAGAUAUCGGGAGGAAUACCGGUGGCGAAGGCGACUUUCUGGCUGAAUACUGACGCUGAGGCGCGAAAGCGUGGGGAGCAAACAGGAUUAGAUACCCGAGUAGUC
This 466-nucleotide ribosomal RNA is filed under the name uncultured bacterium. RNAcentral describes it as "bacterial SSU rRNA". It matches the Rfam family "Bacterial small subunit ribosomal RNA", at positions 338 to 795 of the family's 1533-position model. The record is from RNAcentral.